AUCAGCGGGGUGGGGGAGAUGGACAUCGAGAAGGACUCUCCGAAGAAGGAGGACACCCAGGCCAAGGACCUGCCCUACCCAGACUGUCCCUUCCUGCUCCUGGACGUGCGGGAUCGGGACGCCUACGACCAGUGUCACAUCGUGGGAGCUUAUUCCUACCCUAUUGCCACGCUGUCCAGGACCAUGAAUCCAUACACAAACAGUAUUCUGGAAUAU
This is a long non-coding RNA of Neopelma chrysocephalum (saffron-crested tyrant-manakin), 216 nucleotides long. RefSeq lists it as uncharacterized. The transcript has 2 exons. NCBI's taxonomy places the organism in Eukaryota, Metazoa, Chordata, Aves, Passeriformes, Pipridae. The record is from RefSeq and is a predicted model, not a curated record.